UACAGAGGUUUCAAGCGUUGUUCGGAAUCACUGGGCGUAAAGGGUGCGUAGGCCGCACGGUAAGUCAGAGGUGAAAUCCCGGAGCUCAACUUCGGAAUUGCCUCCGAUACUGCCGUGCUUGAGGACUGGAGAGGAGAUUGGAAUUCACAGUGGAGCAGUGAAAUGCGUAGAUAUUGUGAGGAACACUAGUGGCGAAGGCGAAUCUCUGGACAGUUCCUGACGCUGAGGCACGAAGGCCAGGGGAGCAAACGGG
RNAcentral lists this ribosomal RNA (253 nucleotides) under uncultured bacterium. RNAcentral's name for it is "partial 16S ribosomal RNA". It matches the Rfam family "Bacterial small subunit ribosomal RNA", at positions 524 to 776 of the family's 1533-position model. The record is from RNAcentral.